RNAcentral lists this ribosomal RNA (360 nucleotides) under Triticum aestivum (bread wheat). Its description in RNAcentral is "partial small subunit ribosomal RNA". Lineage: Eukaryota; Viridiplantae; Streptophyta; Magnoliopsida; Poales; Poaceae. The record is from RNAcentral.
AUGGCGGCCGCGCCUCCCCAGCCCACCGCCCCCGCCCCCGCCUCCGCAAGCAGCGGUGACGCAUUCCGCCUGGGCUUCAUCGGCGCGGGAACCUGGCCGAGAGCAUCGCGCGGGGCGUCACGGCGUCGGGCGUCCUCCCGGCCUCCGCCGUCCGCAUCGCGCCCCACCGCCGCCCCGAGCGCGGUUGUCGAUGACAACGAUGUGAUCGUCAUCUCCGUCAAGCCCCAGAUUGUGAAGCAGGUUCUGGUUGAGCUCAAGCCCUUGUUGUCUGAAGAAAAGCUUCUGAUCUCCAUUGCCGCUGGCAUCAAAAUGAAAGAUUUGCAGGUCAGUCAGUGUGCAUUCACGUUCUAUUCCCUUUAA